Molecule: ribosomal RNA, 565 nt
Filed under: uncultured bacterium
Lineage: Bacteria
Description: partial 16S ribosomal RNA
Rfam family: Bacterial small subunit ribosomal RNA
Source: RNAcentral
UGGGGAAUUUUGGACAAUGGGCGAAAGCCUGAUCCAGCAAUGCCGCGUGUGUGAAGAAGGCCUUCGGGUUGUAAAGCACUUUUGUCCGGAAAGAAAUCCUUGGCUCUAAUACAGUCGGGGGAUGACGGUACCGGAAGAAUAAGCACCGGCUAACUACGUGCCAGCAGCCGCGGUAAUACGUAGGGUGCAAGCGUUAAUCGGAAUUACUGGGCGUAAAGCGUGCGCAGGCGGUUUGCUAAGACCGAUGUGAAAUCCCGGGCUCAACCUGGGAACUGCAUUGGUGACUGGCAGGCUAGAGUAUGGCAGAGGGGGGUAGAAUUCCACGUGUAGCAGUGAAAUGCGUAGAGAUGUGGAGGAAUACCGAUGGCGAAGGCAGCCCCCUGGCCAAGUACUGACGCUCAUGCACGAAAGCGUGGGGAGCAAACAGGAUUAGAUACCCUGGUAGUCCACGCCCUAAACGAUGUCAACUAGUUGUUGGGGAUUCAUUUCCUUAGUAACGUAGCUAACGCGUGAAGCUGACCGCCUGGGGAGUACGGUCGCAAGAUUAAAACUCAAAGGAAUUGAC